GAUGAAGAACGCAGCGAAAUGCGAUAAGUAGUGUGAAUUGCAGAAUUCAGUGAAUCAUCGAAUCUUUGAACGCACAUUGCGCCCCUUGGUAUUCCGGGGGGCAUGCCUGUUCGAGCGUCAUUAUAACCCCUCAAGCUCAGCUUGGUGUUGGGGCCUGCCAACUGGCAGCCCUUAAAAUCAGUGGCGGCGCCAUCUGGCUCUAAGCGUAGUAAUUUCUCUCGCUAUAGGGUCCCGGUGGAUGCUGGCCAACAACCCCCAAUUUUCUAUGGUUGACCUCGGAUCAGGUAGGGAUACCCGCUGAACUUAAGCAUAUCAAUAAGCGGAGGA
This 327-nucleotide unclassified non-coding RNA is filed under the name soil metagenome. Its description in RNAcentral is "partial contains 5.8S ribosomal RNA, internal transcribed spacer 2, and large subunit ribosomal RNA". The stretch from base 1 to 120 matches the Rfam family "5.8S ribosomal RNA", at positions 35 to 154 of the family's 154-position model. The record is from RNAcentral.